CAAUAAGGCAGUCCUUCAGUUAAGUAGCCAUUUUGGCCCACCUCAAUUGAACGCAGUGCCACCUGUGGUUGAAAUAGCAGUAUAACAGCUAGCUCUAGGUUACACCUUGUCAGGUCUGAAGCUGCUUAUUAACUUAAAUCUUUUUAUCCUGAUGGAUUCACAACGUAAUGGAAAGUCCAAAUGUGAAGGAAUCGUGAGGUGUGCAGAAGUCCGUGCCCCAAAAUGACUUCAACAAGGCCUAGAAUUCACUCGUUCCAAGAGACUCCAUCUGACAAGGUUUGCUCUGCAUGGCAGAGGCUGCCCUGAGGGCUCUGGACUUCCCUGUUGGAGGUGAGUGAACAUGUUAAAGCAAGCAAGCAAGCAAGCAAGCAAGCAAGCAAACAAGCAAGCAAGCAAACAAACAAACAAACAAA
Podarcis raffonei (Aeolian wall lizard) is the source of this 413-nucleotide long non-coding RNA. RefSeq lists it as uncharacterized. NCBI's taxonomy places the organism in Eukaryota, Metazoa, Chordata, Lepidosauria, Squamata, Lacertidae. The transcript has 3 exons. The record is from RefSeq and is a predicted model, not a curated record.